Molecule: unclassified non-coding RNA, 312 nt
Organism: Mustela putorius furo (domestic ferret)
Lineage: Eukaryota; Metazoa; Chordata; Mammalia; Carnivora; Mustelidae
Gene: 7SK
Rfam family: 7SK RNA
About the family: 7SK was discovered as an abundant small nuclear RNA in the mid-70s but a possible function has only recently been suggested. Two independent studies have found that 7SK RNA binds the CDK9/cyclin T complex (known as elongation factor P-TEFb). P-TEFb activates transcription by phosphorylating the C-terminal domain of RNA polymerase II.
Source: Ensembl
GGAUGUGAGGGCAAUCUGGCUGCGACAUCUGUCACCCCAUUGAUCAUCAGGGUUAAUUCGGCUGAUCUGGCUGGCUAGGUGGGUGUCCCCUUCCUCCCUCACCGCUCCAUGUGCGUCCCUUCUGAAGCUGCGCGCUCAGUAGAAGAGGACGACCUUCCCUGUUAGAGGAGAGGACAGUUCUUCGAUCAAGGGUAUAGGAGUAGCUGCGCUCCCCUGCUACAACUUCCAAACAAGCUUUCAAAGACAUUAGAUUAACACAAUGGAAUACAAAGCCAUAUAACCUUAACAAAAACUUACUGAGGACCUUCUGUG